Molecule: ribosomal RNA, 200 nt
Filed under: uncultured Syntrophomonas sp.
Lineage: Bacteria; Bacillati; Bacillota; Clostridia; Eubacteriales; Syntrophomonadaceae
Description: partial 16S ribosomal RNA
Rfam family: Bacterial small subunit ribosomal RNA
Source: RNAcentral
UACUCCUACGGGAGGCAGCAGUGGGGAAUAUUGCGCAAUAGGGGAAACCCUGACGCAGCGACGCCGCGUGAGCGAAGAAGGCCUUAGGGUUGUAAAGCUCUGUUGUAAGGGAAGAAGAACUUAAGCGAGAAUAUUGUUUAAGAGUGACGGUACCUUACUAGAAAGCCCCGGCUAACUACGUGCCAGCAGCCGCGGUAAUA